GUGUUCCUACGGGAGGCAGCAGUAAGGGAUAUUGGUCAAUGGGGGAAACCCUGAACUAGCAACGCCGCGUGAGGGAAGACGGUUUUCGGAUUGUAAACCUCCGUCCUCUGUGAAGAUGAUGACGGUAGCAGAGGAGGAAGCUCCGGCUAACUACGUGCCAGCAGCCGCGGUAAUACGUAGGGAGCGAGCGUUGUCCGGAUUUACUGGGUGUAAAGGGUGCGUAGGCGGCUUGGCAAGUCAGUAGUGAAAUCCAUGGGCUUAACCCAUGAACUGCUAUUGAAACUGUCGAGCUCGAGUGAAGUAGG
RNAcentral lists this ribosomal RNA (305 nucleotides) under uncultured bacterium. Its description in RNAcentral is "bacterial SSU rRNA". It matches the Rfam family "Bacterial small subunit ribosomal RNA", at positions 333 to 655 of the family's 1533-position model. The record is from RNAcentral.